GGGCCAGGUUGGGAAAGGCGCCCUCCGCUUGCGCCGGAGGGGGCUGCAGGCGAUCGGCGACUUCGGAUGACGCUCCCUCCUCUUCUUCCUUUUCUUCCAGACGGGCUUUCUUGCUCGGGACCAGUCCAGCGUCCCCGCCGUCGCUCAGGCUGCUGCUGCGUCGUUUGCGGCUGACUUUAGCGGGGCGCGGGGCACAGCAGGCGGAGAGGUAGAGCUCCCGGGCGCUGCGCAUGACCAGCGACAGCUGCAGACUCCGGUGCAGCCGCAGGCCACCGCGCUGCAUGCGAGAGUGAUACAUCUUCCACACCGACAGGGUCAUGAUGCGCUGUGCCUCUUUCUGCACUUCCAUGGCGACUCGACGGCGACAGCGGCGGGGGCUCCCGGAGGGACAGAACAGGAAGCAGGUGCACUCCGGACAACGGGCUCGCUCACGCCUCUCUACACAAACCAACCCACGCAGUGAC
This 464-nucleotide non-coding RNA is filed under the name Pan troglodytes (chimpanzee). Lineage: Eukaryota; Metazoa; Chordata; Mammalia; Primates; Hominidae. The record is from RNAcentral.